This 937-nucleotide ribosomal RNA is filed under the name Bacillus sp. (in: firmicutes). RNAcentral describes it as "bacterial SSU rRNA". It matches the Rfam family "Bacterial small subunit ribosomal RNA", at positions 431 to 1357 of the family's 1533-position model. The record is from RNAcentral. Lineage: Bacteria; Bacillati; Bacillota; Bacilli; Caryophanales; Bacillaceae.
CUCUGUUGUCAGGGAAGAACAAGUACCGUUCGAACAGGGCGGUACCUUGACGGUACCUGACGAGGAAGCCACGGCUAACUACGUGCCAGCAGCCGCGGUAAUACGUAGGUGGCAAGCGUUGUCCGGAAUUAUUGGGCGUAAAGCGCGCGCAGGCGGUUCCUUAAGUCUGAUGUGAAAUCUCGCGGCUCAACCGCGAGCGGCCAUUGGAAACUGGGGAACUUGAGUGCAGGAGAGGGGAGCGGAAUUCCACGUGUAGCGGUGAAAUGCGUAGAGAUGUGGAGGAACACCAGUGGCGAAGGCGGCUCUCUGGCCUGUAACUGACGCUGAGGCGCGAAAGCGUGGGGAGCGAACAGGAUUAGAUACCCUGGUAGUCCACGCCGUAAACGAUGAGUGCUAAGUGUUAGAGGGUAUCCACCCUUUAGUGCUGCAGCAAACGCAUUAAGCACUCCGCCUGGGGAGUACGGCCGCAAGGCUGAAACUCAAAGGAAUUGACGGGGACCCGCACAAGCGGGUGGAGCAUGUGGUUUAAUUCGAAGCAACGCGAAGAACCUUACCAGGUCUUGACAUCCCCUGACAACCCUAGAGAUAGGGCGUUCCCCUUUCGGGGACAGGGUGACAGGUGGUGCAUGGUUGUCGUCAGCUCGUGUCGUGAGAUGUUGGGUUAAGUCCCGCAACGAGCGCAACCCUUGACCUUAGUUGCCAGCAUUCAGUUGGGCACUCUAAGGUGACUGCCGGCUAAAAGUCGGAGGAAGGUGGGGAUGACGUCAAAUCAUCAUGCCCCUUAUGACCUGGGCUACACACGUGCUACAAUGGGUGGUACAAAGGGCAGCGAAACCGCGAGGUGGAGCGAAUCCCAAAAAACCACUCUCAGUUCGGAUUGCAGGCUGCAACUCGCCUGCAUGAAGCCGGAAUCGCUAGUAAUCGCGGAUCAGCAUGC